UACGAAGGGGGCUAGCGUUGCUCGGAAUUACUGGGCGUAAAGGGCGCGUAGGCGGAUAUCUAAGUUGGGGGUGAAAGCUCGGGGCUCAACCCCGAGUCGGCCGUGCGAACUGAGUCGCUUGAGCACUGUAGAGGCAGGCGGAAUUCCGGGUGUAGCGGUGGAAUGCGUAGAGAUCCGGAAGAACACCGGUGGCGAAGGCGGCCUGCUGGGCAGUAGCUGACACUGAGGCGCGACAGCGUGGGGAGCAAACAGG
Molecule: ribosomal RNA, 253 nt
Filed under: uncultured bacterium
Lineage: Bacteria
Description: partial 16S ribosomal RNA
Rfam family: Bacterial small subunit ribosomal RNA
Source: RNAcentral